Molecule: long non-coding RNA, 665 nt
Organism: Zeugodacus cucurbitae (melon fly)
Lineage: Eukaryota; Metazoa; Arthropoda; Insecta; Diptera; Tephritidae
Exons: 3
Source: RefSeq, a predicted model, not a curated record
CGCCUGGUAGUUCAUCAAUCUCUGCAAAGAUGAGUUGUUGUUGGUCUCUGUACAAAUUUUUAGUAAAUAAUUUAACAUUUGGCAACUCUGGUUUUUCAUCAAAAGAAUGCAGGUAGCUGUUCUGUGUCAGUUUGUUUACUAAGAAACGACGAGAUGAUCGAAAUGUGCUUUUGUUGUUGCCCAACUUUAAUUUCGUGGCUGCAGUCACCUGCUUGCUUGCCUGCUGAAUUCAGUGUGUUUUUCUUCGCGGUAGAUCGGUGGCAUUUUAGUAAAAUAGAAAAUCGCGUGUUUUGUGGUUUUGCUAUUCUAAGAUGAGAUUAUGUGAGAGUUAAAUGACAAUUAUUGGCUGGCUAUUACAAAUCUAAAGGAACGCAUGUGGAUACUGCUGCUUGCUGGCUUCAGUGUGUUGUUGUUCGCCUGGUAGAUCGGCGAUAUUUUAGUAAAUUUAAAAAAUCGCGUGUUUUGUGAUUAUCAGGGCGCAUGUGAGACUAAAAUCAUAAUUAUUGGCUGACAUAUUGCAAAUCUAAAGGAACAAGUGUUGGGUACUGCUGCUUGCUGGUGCCUGGUGAUUGUUUGAUGUUUGUGCAUGCCGGAUAAUUCUGUAUUGCAUACAGUAUUUUUAUGAGAUUUGUGUUGAGUUAAGAUAUUAUUAUUAUAAAGGCUUU